CACGGACUGCGCGAACGUUAUUCGGAAUCACUGGGCUUAAAGAGUCCGUAGGCGGCCGUGCAGGUGGGGUGUGAAAUCCCUCGGCUUAACCGAGGAAUUGCGCUCCAAACCACAUGGCUUGAGAGAGAUAGAGGUGAGCGGAACUCACGGUGGAGCGGUGAAAUGCGUUGAUAUCGUGAGGAACACCGGUGGCGAAGGCGGCUCACUGGGUCUCUUCUGACGCUGAGGGACGAAAGCUAGGGGAGCGAACGGG
Molecule: ribosomal RNA, 253 nt
Filed under: uncultured bacterium
Lineage: Bacteria
Description: partial 16S ribosomal RNA
Rfam family: Bacterial small subunit ribosomal RNA
Source: RNAcentral